This 492-nucleotide ribosomal RNA is filed under the name uncultured bacterium. RNAcentral's name for it is "partial 16S ribosomal RNA". It matches the Rfam family "Bacterial small subunit ribosomal RNA", at positions 29 to 507 of the family's 1533-position model. The record is from RNAcentral.
AGUGAACGCUGGCGGUAGGCCUAACACACGCAAGUCGAACGGCAGCACAGUAAGAGCUUGCUCUUACGGGUGGCGAGUGGCGGACGGGUGAGGAAUACAUCGGAAUCUACUUUUUCGUGGGGGAUAACGUAGGGAAACUUACGCUAAUACCGCAUACGACCUACGGGUGAAAGCAGGGGAUCUUCGGACCUUGCGCGAUUGAAUGAGCCGAUGUCGGAUUAGCUAGUUGGCGGGGUAAAGGCCCACCAAGGCGACGAUCCGUAGCUGGUCUGAGAGGAUGAUCAGCCACACUGGAACUGAGACACGGUCCAGACUCCUACGGGAGGCAGCAGUGGGGAAUAUUGGACAAUGGGCGCAAGCCUGAUCCAGCCAUACCGCGUGGGUGAAGAAGGCCUUCGGGUUGUAAGGCCCUUUUGUUGGGAAAGAAAAGCAGCAGGUUAAUACCCCGCUGUUCUGACGGUACCCAAAGAAUAAGCACCGGCUAACUUCGUG